RNAcentral lists this unclassified non-coding RNA (381 nucleotides) under uncultured bacterium. RNAcentral's name for it is "contains 16S-23S intergenic spacer region". The record is from RNAcentral.
UCCGGCUUAACGCCGGCAGUCUCCUUAGAGUCCCCGACAUAACUCGCUGGCAACUAAGAGCAGGGGUUGCGCUCGUUGCGGCACUUAAGCCAACACCUCACGGCACGAGCUGACGACAGCCAUGCAGCACCUGUGCUAGCUCCCCUUGCGGGGUCGUCCCUCUUUCAAGGUUCUACCACUUGCAUGUCAAGGCCAGGUAAGGUUCUUCGCGUUGCAUCGAAUUAAGCCACAUGCUCCACCGCUUGUGCGGGCCCCCGUCAAUUCCUUUGAGUUUCACUCCUGCGAGCGUACUCCCCAGGUGGGAUGCUUAACGCGUUAGCUUAGGCACUGCCCCAAAGAGCGGGGCAACACCGAGCAUCCAUCGUUUACGGCGUGGACUAC